UGCCCAGCACCUCCUAUCCCUGCCUCCACGCGGUAGGGAAGAUCGGGUAACCAACCCCGGUGAGAAGUUUGGUCGUAGGCUGACAGGGAAGG
Molecule: non-coding RNA, 92 nt
Organism: Aedes albopictus (Asian tiger mosquito)
Lineage: Eukaryota; Metazoa; Arthropoda; Insecta; Diptera; Culicidae
Source: Rfam